This 827-nucleotide unclassified non-coding RNA is filed under the name Hevea brasiliensis (rubber tree). Lineage: Eukaryota; Viridiplantae; Streptophyta; Magnoliopsida; Malpighiales; Euphorbiaceae. The record is from RNAcentral.
UGGGGAGCAAAAUUUCUUACACAAAUGAAAGGUAAUUUUCAUGAGUUUCAAUUUUGUAUUGCAAUGGCACUAUCUCUGUUAACAAUACUCAAAACCAGAUCUUACACAAGGUAAUGUGCCUUUUUGCAAUGAUAGAAUGUCAAAAUACGUAAUAGAAACACAGAUGAAGGAUGAUGGUUUUCUUCUUUCUAGCAAUUAUAACCACUCUAACUGAACAAUUUAUGCGUCCAUCAGUAAUAUCACAAAUCAUAUCUUACUUUCCAUUUCCCAAUAUUGUUGACAGUGAGAGUCCAGUUGUUUUCACUAAACUGAAAGUAAGGGACCUUUUCAAUGACUUCGUAUCCAACUUUGAGCCUCACAUCUUGGUCUUUUUUCACAUCCAUGAUAUCCCAAGUAAAUUCAGCAGCAACUCUCGACUUUUUCUCCAAAAGUUUUUCGUCCACAUCGUACUUGCCCUUAAUAUGAAAGUUAACCGAAUUAUUUGCCGUCACUGGAAAUUCUUUUUUACCACGAACAGUAUACCAGAGCUUUUGCCGCCUAUAAUAUUGCACUCCCACAGCAAGACUAGCAUAUUGAUCAGGAAAGUAUUGCCUUAUCAUAGCACAGAGAUAAGUUGGUGCUCCAAUUUUGGUGUCUAGUUCUGCAUGACCCUGCAAAUGGGUGAAAGUGUUAAGAGGAAAUUUCUCCUUGGCAUGAAUCACCAGACUCUUGGAAUCUCCAGCAUAACGAAGUGAGCUCUCCAUUUUCUGUUAAAUGCAGGUGUUCUUCACUGUAGAAGAAUCCCCCAACCCCCAACUGGUUAAACCCUAGAUAUAUAUGAAUGGAAG